CAUGCAAGUCGAGCGGGGUGAUGUAGCUUGCUACAUUACCUAGCGGCGGACGGGUGAGUAAUGCUUAGGAAUCUGCCUAUUAGUGGGGGACAACAUUCCGAAAGGAAUGCUAAUACCGCAUACGCCCUACGGGGGAAAGCAGGGGAUCUUCGGACCUUGCGCUAAUAGAUGAGCCUAAGUCAGAUUAGCUAGUUGGUGGGGUAAAGGCCUACCAAGGCGACGAUCUGUAGCGGGUCUGAGAGGAUGAUCCGCCACACUGGGACUGAGACACGGCCCAGACUCCUACGGGAGGCAGCAGUGGGGAAUAUUGGACAAUGGGCGAAAGCCUGAUCCAGCCAUGCCGCGUGUGUGAAGAAGGCCCUUUGGUUGUAAAGCACUUUAAGCGAGGAGGAGGCUACUUAGAUUAAUACUCUAGGAUAGUGGACGUUACUCGCAGAAUAAGCACCGGCUAACUCUGUGCCAGCAGCCGCGGUAAUACAGAGGGUGCGAGCGUUAAUCGGAUUUACUGGGCGUAAAGCGUGCGUAGGCGGCUUCUUAAGUCGGAUGUGAAAUCCCUGAGCUUAACUUAGGAAUUGCAUUCGAUACUGGGAAGCUAGAGUAUGGGAGAGGAUGGUAGAAUUCCAGGUGUAGCGGUGAAAUGCGUAGAGAUCUGGAGGAAUACCGAUGGCGAAGGCAGCCAUCUGGGCCUAAUAUUGACGCUGAGGUACGAAAGCAUGGGGAGCAAACAGGAUUAGAUACCCUGGUAGUCAUGCCGUAAACGAUGUCUACUAGCCGUGGGGCNUUGAGGCUUUAGUGGCGCAGCUAACGCGAUAAGUAGACNNCUGGGGAGUACGGUCGCAGACUAAAACUCAAA
This 853-nucleotide ribosomal RNA is filed under the name uncultured bacterium. Its description in RNAcentral is "bacterial SSU rRNA". It matches the Rfam family "Bacterial small subunit ribosomal RNA", at positions 54 to 905 of the family's 1533-position model. The record is from RNAcentral.